Pogoniulus pusillus (Red-fronted tinkerbird) is the source of this 2765-nucleotide long non-coding RNA. RefSeq lists it as uncharacterized. The transcript is spliced from 7 exons. The record is from RefSeq and is a predicted model, not a curated record. Lineage: Eukaryota; Metazoa; Chordata; Aves; Piciformes; Lybiidae.
AAGCCAGUUCUUUAAGAAGAUCUCUUGUCUUCCUGGUGAUGGCCCCAUGAGGUGACCAUGUACACACAGUCUGAAAGUAGGCUUGGCCCUGGAUGAUUAUCUCCUGGUGAGCAUAAGAGAAGAGAGGCCUGAAUUUGACACCGCUGAGUUGUCCUCAAACCUGCAACCGAGGCAAACUGUCCUGGAAGAGGCUCUGUGUUCUUCCCAUGACAAAUUCACAAGCAGAUUACUUACAAGGCAGGACUGCUGAAGAUCCUUCCUGGGGAUUGCAGUGGUUUACAAAUGAGGUUGAAGUGUCUACCAGGAGCAUUGAACUCGGGCGUUGGGCAGUGGCAGUGGUUAUGACUCUCUGAAGCCAUGGCACCGACAGAGUCCUCCUCUGCCAGGUGAAGCGUUUGGGGUAUUCUCCAGGGUGGGUGGACUGCAGAGAAGUGAGUGUUGAGAAUAACUGAUUCCUCUGCCCAUCCAGGGACUGAAUGAAAGACCCUUCAAAAUGGCUGUGUGGGAAUACUCAGCACCUGUGGAUGUGCUUCUGCAGGAAGUCUGUCUAUCAACUGAAAGGUGAGACAGCGACAUAAUGACAAUGCCCUGUGGAUCAACUCUGAGGGUGGAAAAAACUCAUGCCACAACACACCUCCGAAAGCCCCUCAGUGAAAAUAGAGGUCGACAGAAUUCACACCCGCGUGUUCUGUGUCUUUAAGCUCAAGUGUCUGGAAACACAUUUCUUCUGCAGGUUAUUCACAUGCAGAUUCCUUCUGGUGGUGGGAUGCCCCAGGGUAACCGAGGGCAGAAUUUGGCCCUUUCUGUUUGCUCAGUGGGGCUAAGUGCCGCUUUCUGAGCGGAGUACCUGUGCCUCGGAGCCGCACAGCUGCGAUACGCAAGAGCAGCUUUGGCAUUUCCUGGGUUUCCGUACGGGAGGUGAGUCCCGCGAAAGCUGCAGGCUCUGCGUGGAAGUGAAGCAUGCAAGGGGAAGUGUCGUGCACGGGUUUUGGCCUGAGGGAAUGCAUUUGUGGCAGCUAAGGUAGAAAUAAGGCUUGACAAAUGUAAAAUUAUUUAAACGCUCCCCCCAAGCAUUUCAGUCUGCGGUGCUCUUGUUUGUGUUUCUGUUCCAGAUGAGUGCAAGGCUGCUAGAGAACACAAAAAUUCUCUGCAGUUUGGCAACAGUUGUGUUUGUUGCCUGUGAGAGAAAAUCUCGUUGUUUAAUGUCUGUAAAUAUGAAUUUAACAGCUGACAGAAGCUUAAAACCUUUGGUCUCCAUUUUAAAGACUCUCAGCAUAUAAUUUUUCCGAAUCGGUGCACUCAUUAUUUUUAAGAUGUGAAGUCUUCUCACACUGCUACCAAGAAAUCCCCAAUUGCCAUUUAUGUGCUUAAAACAUCUGCAGGAAACAAAGGUGUUGGGUUGUUUUGCAAUAAUCAGUUCAGUUCUCAUUUCCAUUUGGUAAUUGCUGUGAAAGAUUUACCUGCUGUAACGUAGUUUAUUUUGCCCGCAAACGCCUUUGUUUCUCUGUGUGGCUGCUAAGCCACAGCCCAGAUAUUUACUGUCAAGGAAAUAAAAGCCUCCUCUGCCACUUGGAGGCCCAACCUCAUUGUAACUGAACUGCUCCUCUGGGUCAUCGUAUUGGAGAGUCAACUGUAAGCUUGGUUUCCUGCCACACAGUAAUUUAGCCUGGGACCUUUCAGUCCUUGCAUUAUCUGGCAAGAUUAUACCUACCUGGGAGUGUGCUAAUGUCUCAUCUAUUAUUUGUUUUGAGUGAUUUUUUUUUCACCCAUCAAAGGGUAAAAGGAAAACUUACCUGCUUUUUCAAACAUAGAGUUACCUUCUUGGUUACUCUGGAACAACGAGGCGUCUUUUAAUAAGUUCCUGCUGUGGCUAGAGCUGAGCCCUUCCCUUCUGUUACCUCCCUUGCUCUGCCCAAAACAGUAUUCAAAAUAGAUCACUUGGAACCAGUCGGGAUUGGAGGGGGAAGAAGAAAAGGAAAAGAAUUGCAAACUCAAAUCCCAGAAGGAGAAGUCAGACAGAAAUGCUACUGUCAAAGGGAAAUUGCCAUGGAGGCAAGGAGAUAAUCAAUAGUAAUCAAGCUGGUAGUGCUAAAGUACAGCAGUUUCCCUUAAGACUUGUAUUAUGUUCAUCUGCAGUGGGUCAGAGGCCAGUGCAGACUGAUUGCAAUUGAGGUCAGCUUUUCAGAAAGGAGAUGGGAUGCAUUUGCAGUUUUCAGUAGCUGGAACCUUCUCCAAGGCUGUGGGUGCUAACUACAGCCUGUCACUAUCAGCACUAGCAAGUGGGUUGCUCUUUUCUGUUUCAGCAUGCAUGUGUUUGUGUCCAUGCCACUUUGGAAGCCUUGGGUGAUGUCUGCCAGGUACUUGUACAUGUGCAGUUGUUUGGGAGCUAGGUAGGAAGAGGCCAUGAAUUGGUCUUAAAGCACUGAGAAGUCUGUUGGGGAAUAAUUUCAAGAGUGCUGCUAAAAGCUGUUGUGAGGAGCAGGCACCUGAUGUCUACAGCUCCCAUGCACUGUGCCUCUCACUGUCCAACAGGCAUAUACAAAUAUUGCCAUGUAGGCUCCGUAAAUGAAUUUGAAGCUUUCCACCAGCUAUGUGCUGGAAAUGAGUGCUGCUGCCCUUGUAAAAGAAAUAUCAGGGAAGCUGUGUCACCACAAUAUCAAAGCAUUCUAGAAUUGCCCUUUGCUGCUCUGGGUUUCAGCAUUCGUGGAAGAUAGACGAAGCCAGGCCUGAAAAAUAGAAUCCAUUGAACUGACUUUGUGGAUUUU